Molecule: ribosomal RNA, 613 nt
Filed under: Arthrobacter sp. SC17Y
Lineage: Bacteria; Bacillati; Actinomycetota; Actinomycetes; Micrococcales; Micrococcaceae
Description: bacterial SSU rRNA
Rfam family: Bacterial small subunit ribosomal RNA
Source: RNAcentral
CGAUGAACGCUGGCGGCGUGCUUAACACAUGCAAGUCGAACGAUGAUCCCAGCUUGCUGGGGGAUUAGUGGCGAACGGGUGAGUAACACGUGAGUAACCUGCCCUUAACUCUGGGAUAAGCCUGGGAAACUGGGUCUAAUACCGGAUAUGACUCCUCAUCGCAUGGUGGGGGGUGGAAAGCUUUUUGUGGUUUUGGAUGGACUCGCGGCCUAUCAGCUUGUUGGUGAGGUAAUGGCUUACCAAGGCGACGACGGGUAGCCGGCCUGAGAGGGUGACCGGCCACACUGGGACUGAGACACGGCCCAGACUCCUACGGGAGGCAGCAGUGGGGAAUAUUGCACAAUGGGCGCAAGCCUGAUGCAGCGACGCCGCGUGAGGGAUGACGGCCUUCGGGUUGUAAACCUCUUUCAGUAGGGAAGAAGCGAAAGUGACGGUACCUGCAGAAGAAGCGCCGGCUAACUACGUGCCAGCAGCCGCGGUAAUACGUAGGGCGCAAGCGUUAUCCGGAAUUAUUGGGCGUAAAGAGCUCGUAGGCGGUUUGUCGCGUCUGCCGUGAAAGUCCGGGGCUCAACUCCGGAUCUGCGGUGGGGUACGGGCAGACUAGAGUGAUGUA